Molecule: transfer RNA, 74 nt
Filed under: Desulfosarcina widdelii
Lineage: Bacteria; Pseudomonadati; Thermodesulfobacteriota; Desulfobacteria; Desulfobacterales; Desulfosarcinaceae
Description: tRNA-Cys
Source: RNAcentral
GCGGUAGGAUAGGGCCAGUCAAUAAUGGUCUGCAAAACCUCCAUUCACCAGUUCGAAUCUGGUUGCCGCCUCCA